RNAcentral lists this transfer RNA (92 nucleotides) under Deltaproteobacteria bacterium. RNAcentral's name for it is "tRNA-Ser". It matches the Rfam family "tRNA". Rfam says of the family: Transfer RNA (tRNA) molecules are approximately 80 nucleotides in length. Lineage: Bacteria; Pseudomonadati; Myxococcota; Myxococcia. RNAcentral also lists the same sequence under 2 other names. The record is from RNAcentral.
GGAGAGAUGGCCGAGUCGGCUGAAGGCGCUCGCCUGCUAAGCGAGUAUGUGGGUAAACUGCAUCGAGGGUUCGAAUCCCUCUCUCUCCGCCA